This is a non-coding RNA of Xyrichtys novacula (pearly razorfish), 812 nucleotides long. Lineage: Eukaryota; Metazoa; Chordata; Actinopteri; Labriformes; Labridae. The record is from the annotation of a GenBank genome assembly.
UAUAGACAAAAAUGCUUUAUUUCUUCAAGAGGACGUUAUUUACAGCUCUUAUAGUCUCCAAAAAAAUCUAAUUUAUAACUGUGUGUAUACCAACAAUAGUUUAUGAAAUGUUUUCUAAGGAAAUCCUAGGCAAGAGUAUGUAAAUGUUUUAAGAAGAAACACAAAUCAACAAUUUUUUAAUCUUAGAACUUUGUGCUUGAAAUACUAUGCAACUCAAAUAUUCUAUAUAAAACGUGUUUUUAUGUUCUUUCAAAGUCAGGUAUGCAGAUGUGGUGUAGCUGACGACACGUCUUCUGGCGAAACUCUGGAUUCACAGACAGGAGAGGAGGACCUAGAACAACAAUCAGACUUGUGCAAAAUUAGGGAUUUUUCAAAAUAGCAGUUGUAUUAAAUGUACUUCCGUUUCAAAAGUUUUGACUCAAAGAAAGGUUGCUUGUUUCAAAAGGUUUCUCAAAAUAGGUUCUCAAAAUAGGUUCUCAAAAUAGGUUCUCAAAUGUUCUGCAAAGUUCUGAAAAGUUCUGCAAAGUUCUGAAAAGUUCUGCAAAAGUUCUGAAAAGUUCUGCAAAGUUCUGAAAAGUUCUGCAAAGUUCUGAAAAGUUCUGCAAUGAGUCAGAGUGGGAUAGAAGGGGGAUAGAAAGACAGAGUUGCUUUUCAAUCAGACAGAGCGGUAGAGGAGACAGGAAAGUCAGAGCGUCCAAAACUUAGCCAGAGGGAUAGAAGAAAGGGGGACACAAGACAGAGUGCUUUUCAAUCAGACAGAGUGGUAGAGGAGACAGGAAAGACAGAGUGACCAAAAUGAUAGGGGAGAGUGG